CCGCAACGAGCGCAACCCUUGUUUGCUGUUGCCAUCAGGUAAUGCUGGGCACUCUGCAAAGACUGCCGGUGAUAAACCGGAGGAAGGUGGGGAUGACGUCAAGUCAGCAUGGCCUUUAUGUCUGGGGCUACACACGUGCUACAAUGGCCGGUACAAACCGUCGCAAAGCCGCAAGGUGGAGCUAAUCGGAGAAAGCCGGUCUCAGUUCGGAUAGCAGUCUCUGUUGAGGCCUGCUUGAAGUUGGAAUCGCUAGUAAUCGCGGAUCAGCACGCCGCGGUGAAUACGUUCCCGGGUAGACUCUCGACGCCCGUCACAUCACGAAAGCCGGUUGUAUGGGGCCUUCAGCCAACCCGCAAGGGAGAGAGGCGCCUAAGGUAUGGUCG
Molecule: ribosomal RNA, 383 nt
Filed under: uncultured Acidobacteriota bacterium
Lineage: Bacteria; Pseudomonadati; Acidobacteriota
Description: bacterial SSU rRNA
Rfam family: Bacterial small subunit ribosomal RNA
Source: RNAcentral